Molecule: ribosomal RNA, 211 nt
Filed under: uncultured bacterium
Lineage: Bacteria
Description: partial 16S ribosomal RNA
Rfam family: Bacterial small subunit ribosomal RNA
Source: RNAcentral
CAGAUGUGAAAGACCCGGGGCGUCAACCUCGGAAUAGCAUUUGAAACUAGGCAGACUAGAGUACUGUAGAGGGGGGUAGGAAUUUCAGGUGUAGCGGUGAAAUAGCGUAGAGAUCUGAAGGAAUACCGGUGGCGAAGGCGGCCCCCUCGGACAGAUACUGACACUCAGAUGCGAAAGCGUGGGGAGCAAACAGGAUUAGAUACCCUGGUAG